UGACCUCUUCGUGAAGAGGCGAAGAUAAAAAUAUAAGACGAGAAGACCCCAUGGAGCUUAAAACCAAACAAUACUCUUUUGCAUAUAAACCCUAAAAAAUAAAAGAUCUGUUGACUAGUUUUUGGCUGGGGCAUCCAAGGAGUAUAACAUAACCUCCCUGACGAACAUCUAAGAAUAACAACUCCAAGAAACAGUAAACUGACGUAACAUGACCCGACAAUCGAUCAACGAACCAAGUUACCCUGGGGAUAACAGCGCAAUCCAUUUCAAGAGCCCCUAUCGACAAAUGGGUUUACGACCUCGAUGUUGGAUCAGGGUAUCCCAGUGGUGCAGCCGCUACUAAAGGUUCGUUUGUUCAACGAUUAAAACCCU
Molecule: ribosomal RNA, 372 nt
Filed under: Phrynobatrachus ruthbeateae
Lineage: Eukaryota; Metazoa; Chordata; Amphibia; Anura; Phrynobatrachidae
Description: partial 16S ribosomal RNA
Rfam family: Bacterial large subunit ribosomal RNA
Source: RNAcentral